RNAcentral lists this transfer-messenger RNA (300 nucleotides) under Candidatus Rokuibacteriota bacterium. Its description in RNAcentral is "partial transfer-messenger RNA". It matches the Rfam family "transfer-messenger RNA", at positions 1 to 318 of the family's 374-position model. From Rfam's summary of the family: Bacterial tmRNA, also known as 10Sa RNA or SsrA, is named for its dual tRNA and mRNA-like properties. Its role is to liberate the mRNA from a stalled ribosome. Lineage: Bacteria; Candidatus Rokuibacteriota. The record is from RNAcentral.
GGGGGCGACAGGUUUCGACGGGGAUCAGUGAGGUCCAGGCUGCGUCUCGAGGUUUCUCACCCCUCGUUAAUAAGUGAGAACGGUAUAGCUGCCAACACACAGCUAGCCCUGGCGGCCUAACACCCGCCAGCGUCCGCCGUCCUGAGCCAUCGGGGGGCGGGAACGGACGUCAUACACCGCUGGCUGGCUCCGAACCUGGCCUCAGGGGAGGGGCGAGACAAUGAGGCUGGUCCCGCGGUGAUCCUGCCGAUCGGAGUGCCGCGGGGCGAGAGGUUGGAGAGUAGACCGGCUAUCGACGUA